AUCGAGGGUGUAAAGUCAGCAUCGAUGAGUGUUUUUAGGAAACUUUAUGUGCAAAAGUGCAAUUUCUGUCAUUCUUCAUGUAAAAUUCAUCAUGUCAAAUAAGGGUGAAUGUCAAAAAUACUUUUUUUGAUUCAGAAUUAAUGUGGGGGUUGGGGUGAAAGCCCCCAGCCUCCUGCUCUACUGUGUCUGUAAAUUGUAUUCCUUUCCUGGAAAAUAUAUAAACAUUAAAAAAAAUAAAAAAAUUGCUGCCUUCCUGGAAAAUAUAUUUUUAAAAAGAAAUUUUGCUACAAAUUUUAACUCCCAAACUCCUCCCUGCAUGGCUGGGGGUGGGGGGUGGCUCUGAAGGUGUCAAGAGUUGUGAACUGUUUUUCAUAUAUUGUUUACUUACGUUAAAUUCCAAAAUCAUUAUGUCUUGACAGAUUUGCAGUCACCAGAUAUGGAGCUGAAAGCUUGUGCUUGAGGUCAGAAAUUUCAUCUGAUCUCGAGAGAUUCUUUGGUGGUCAUCCACAAGGAUCUUCCUCUCACUGUAACUCACAGUAACACCUGCACAGAGGUGUAUAGCAGUGAAGUUGUACUGGCGGGGUCUGAUCUGCAUGGUUUAAUUGAUGAUCCUGCUGACCGUUCUAUUGAGUUUAUUCCUGCCUCUCUACAGGAAAGGAUACUACUGAUUCAGGAUGCAGGCAAGUGGUGGGAAGAGAAAGGCUGACAAGUCAGAUGGAGGUCAGGAGGAAGAUGAAUGGGUCGCUGAUCCCGAGUUUGAAGGACCUUCGUGGAUUCUACACUUCGGAAAAGGAGGUGGCACUGAGGAUGAUGACAGACCAGGAUACAGCAAGAAGAUUCAAAAGAAAAGCAAAUUUGAAUCUGGUAACCAACAGCAGAAUGAGAAAUCUAAUCAAAACCAAGGCAACAAUGGCCAGAAAAGAGGCCGGGGUGGAGGACAAGCUCGGCAGGGUGGUGCUCAGAGAGGUCAAUUUGGAGGGGGGUUUCAAAGAGGACAGAGACGGGGGAUACGUGGCAAUCAUAUGGCAGGAUUUGGUAGAGGUGGCAAUCAAGGGGGAGGGUUUGGAGGUGGUGGCAAUCAAUGGGGAGGAUUUGGAGGUGGUGGCAAUCAAGGGGGAGGAUUUGGAGGUGGUGGCAAUCAAGGGGGAGGAUUUGUAAGAUGUGGCAAUCAAGGGGGAGGAUUUGCAAGAGGUGGCAAUCAAGGGGAAGGAUUUGCAAGAGGUGGCAAUCAAGGGGGAGGAUUUGCAAGAGGUAGCAAUCGAGGGGGAGGAUUUGGAGGUGGUGGCAAUCGAGGGGGAGGAUUUGGAGGUGGCAAUCAAGGGGGAGGAUUUGGAGGUGGUGGCAAUCAAGCGGGAGGAUUUGGAGGUUGUUGCAGUAAGAGGGGAUUUGGAGGUGGCGGCUAUAAAAGAGGACAUGGUGGAAGGGGAGGAUUUGGGGGUGAUACUCAAGGAGCAGAAUUUGGAGGUGACAUGCAAAAUCAGUGGGAAUUUGCAAAUGCGGGUUUGAAUGGCCAACGCUUUGGUUUCAACCGAGGUUUCAACUACAAUGGAGCUGAACAAGAAGCAUUUCCCUUUAAUGAGGAUCCUCAGUUUGACUAUGGUCAAGAAAAUUGCUAUGGUGAUUUUAUGGAUGACGAUAAUGAUGAAACGUUUCAACAACGAAACAGAGUUUGUCCUUCGUUUGUCUGGGAUCCGUCUACAGGACAGCUGAUGUCCGUACAACAAGAACUUGAUCCUAGCAUCGCCAAACUGAGUACACUGGACAGGAUGAAGCUGUUUGUCAAUUAUUUACGUAACACAAAAUGCAGUCGUCGUGAACAAGACAGCCCAAUCAUGGUUAUUGAAAAUGGACUGAGUGCCUCGAAAGUUGGCUUCCGGGCUUACUUUGAAGUUGAGCUGCUGAUGCGUUUUUACGGGCGUGCGAUGUUUACGGGCGUGUUGUACAUCGAUGAGUUCUUCAUGGCACGGUCUGUGGCCGUGAACAAGAAACAGGUGAAGACCGAGUGUUUCGAGAAAGCCUUAGAGCACCUGUACCGGAAACCACUGCAGUACCUUUUGUCCAUGAAUGAUGUUGGUGCCGAUGCUGUGAGGAAUGAACUGAGAUCCAUUUAUCAAGACCUCACUCCUGACACCUUUCCUCUGGAAGCCAAACGAGCACUGGACGUUCUCAAUCAAGCCGCGAGUGCAGGAAGGAAGAAAUUUGCCCGGAAGGCGGGUCUGUUUAACCUGGAGAGCGGCCUGGCCAAACUGAUCACCUUCCUGAAGUACACGAACCAGGUGACUCCGAACGCGGUGUGCCGGAUAACACAGGCGUUCACGUCGUCCAAGUGCAACCUGUGCCACAACUACGAGGAGGACAUGCUGCGGCUGAAGACUGGCCAGAUGUGGUUCAAGGGCCGGAUGUACGUGGGCGACAUCAUCGUGGCCGGGGCGGGCGACUACAAGAAGAAGCUGGCCAAGGAGAAGACGUACCAGCGAGCCGUGGACGCUCUCCUCAACAAGCCCCUCGAGACCGUGCUCAGGGGGGUGUCGUUGCUGGAGCUGGACGACGCCCCGCCCGACUUCGAGACCGCGGGGCAACUGAGUGGGGACGUCGACACGGCGAAGACGACCAAACGACUGGAGAAACUGACCGCUCUUCUUAAACCGGAAACAGAUAAAGAAGAUCUGGUCGCGCACAUGGACAUGGCGUGUAACACUGUUCAACUGCUGCCCACGUGCCUGUUCCGUCGGGACUCCAAGAAAUGGAAUAUCUGUCUUGUCUGCGAGUUGUACUUGGACAGUAUCUUGAUAGCUUCGGGUGAAGGAGACAAGAGGAAAACAGCUCAGCAGUCCGCCUACUCUAACGCCUGCAAGGUUAUUGUUGGUAAGACACCCGAGGGGAUCAUCAAGGACGCAAGACGGCUGACGAAGGAAGAGAUGUGUUUGCCAGACAUCAUGGAGGUCAGCGUCAAGGGCCAGAGCCGGUGGGGGGAUUCGAACAUCACCAAGCUGAAGAGGCUGGGGAUCGAACCAAGCCUGACGACAUAUGGGGUUUCCGAUUUCGUCAUCAUGGAGCAUUACGACUGGUCCAAGGACCGCACGAAGAAUGCCUUCAUGAUCCUCAGUCAGAGCGCCACUCAGAACGGGAUGCUCCUAGAGUGGAACAUCUCGCCCAACCAAAACCUCUUUAAGUGCUCCAUGAGGCUUCAAGGCCAGGACAUUGGAGAUGCGUCGGCUUCGGCCAAGCAGAAUGCUCGCAACCUAGCCGCCAUGGACUCGCUGUUUCGACUCUACGAGACGCAGCCUGUAAUUAGGUCUCUUCAGAGAAACGAGACUCAAUACUGGAACUCCUAUGAGUCAAUCAAGGUUCAGGCUCAGCGACUGAAGCAAGUCAGUGGUUGCCUUGGCGAUGACCUCGAUGAGUGGGUCGAUUGUACAGAGUCCGUACCAGAGACGCCCAUGGACAUCAAUGACAUACAUAGAGUCGAACUGAGAGACUCACUCUGCGAACCUGUUAAUAAGUGGAUUUUACAGGUUCUUACCAACAUCGUCUCGCAGUACCCAAAGAUCGAGACACUGGAGGACCUGCUGUUUGGACCGGGCUUCCCGCUGGGUGAGCGGAAGAAGAUAACUCUGAUGUGUCGCGAGCACGGGCUCAAGUACAUCUCGCGCCAGUUCCGCGACCAGUCAUACACGGCGGUCUUCAAGACGUGGACCCCGCAGGACAUGGUCCGGCACCUGCAGACACACAGCGGCACCAGCGGCAAGUUCAUUCUCGUCAACCGGUACGAGCUGCCCAAACACAACGAGGCCCGUGCCUUCAUCCUCGACCAGGAGCAGAUCUCCAAGCAGAAGAUUGACGCAUGGAAGCAGUUCCAGACGUACCAGGCGAUGCCCGGCGGAAACCCGAACCCGAACCCAAACCCAAACCCCAAGCGCAGCAGCCCCCCCAGCAAUCCCGUAGCGAACGCGUCCUUCAACACCAGCACUCCCAAGAUGACGCACGUCCAACAACAGCCGUUCUUCGCCCAGAAGGCCAACUCGAUGUCGGGGGCGUUUGUGAAAGGUGGUGUGUUGGAUAGUAUGGUCGGCACCCCGAUUACGAAGAAUAAGUCUCCCAUAGAGGCGGUGGCGACGACGACAACGGCGUCUGUAGACCAGCAGUACAACUACGGGUACAGUAGUGGUGUGGCCGACGAGUUGGACACGAGUGGCACGUACAACCAGACGUCGUCAUCGUACCACACGGCCGCAACGUCCUUCCAGUCACUGCCCCUCGUGUACUCGUCUAGUGCGUCAACAUAUGCAACGCCUGACGGGAGCAACACCUACGGAAUCAGUAACCUGUUCAUGUCGUUCUAGACAGGGGUUGUUGUGCCUCUAAGUGUGCUGCUACUGACGGAAGCAACACCUACGGAAUCAGUAACCUGUUCAUGUGGUUCUAGACAGGGGUUGUUGUGCCUCUAAGUAUGCUGCUACUGACGGAAGAAACACUUUGGAAUCAGUAACCUGUUCAUGUCGUUCUAGAUAGGGAUUGUUGUGCCUCUACGUUUGCUGCUACUGACGGGAGCAACACCUACGGAAUCAGUAACCUGUUCAUGUCGUUCUAGACAGAUGUUGUUGUGCCUCUAAGUAUGCUGCUACUGACGGGAGCAACACUUAGGAAUCAGUAACCUGUUCAUGUCGUUCUAGACAGGGGUUGUUGUACCUCUACGUUUGCUGCUACUGACAGGAGCAACACCUAGGGAAUCAGUAACCUGUUCAUGUCGUUCUAGACAGGGGUUGUUCUUAGAGUAAAUUGUUAACUAGCAAUAACAUUUUCUCCUGAAAUUGUAGGUAAGUGACUGCUCUCAGUGUCUGAAUGGAAAAUAGAUCUCCAAGGUGUUGUCAGAUUUAUUUAAUAUCUAAAAAGUAUAUAGGCAGUUGACAAGAGCAGUUUUUCAUCCACAUGGAAAUUGUGUUGUGCGAGUACAGAUUGAGCGAGAGCAGUUGCUUACGUCAAACCAUAAUGACUGGUUGGUGUAUAGCAGAAAACGUCCAGUUUCUAAGUGAGUUGUCCAUCAUAUUACUGGACAGUGUUUAGGGUAUCUUUACAAGAUUUGUACUACAGCAAUAUAGGUGAAAUACUUUAAAUGUUUUAUAUUAAAUUUCAGAUCUUAUAAUUUGUAAAAGGUAAAAAUUACUCCUUGAUAUAUACAUAUCCGCGUAUGACUAAGCAUGUUCUAGUUCUUAUUAUUGGUAAGAUUUUCUCUCUUAAUCCACCACAGGCUGUAAUAAUUACAUCGUGUAAUGUCUUAUUAACAGAUUAUUUAAAACAAUUUGAAAUGAAAUUUUCUUCUGAAUUUGAUUUUUAUGCUGACUGACUAGUAUGUCUUCAUUUUUGUCUCACCUUUGCCAAGUAAAAAGAUGAGAUAGAGGUAUCACUUUUCCGAUGGCGGCAACGAUAAAGGUGUCCACUUUUAAUGUUAAAGUUCUGUGAUUAGAUCAGGGUUUUUUUAUAAACUAUAAGUCCUAGGUCAGCGAAACUUUGUUUAUAAUUCCACCUACGGAUAUUUAUCACUGUCCACCGAAAAGUUCAUGGUGGACAUUUAAUUCCACAGAAUUCUUGUUUGUUUAUUACAUCUUUUCAAAAGUAUGAAAUGAACCCUUUUCUAACUGAUUACAAUGAUUUAUUGUAAUAUUAUCCACUUUGGUUAUGUUGCUUUACCUGUUGUGGGGGUUUUUGCAAAUUUUAAUUGGCAAUUAGCAUAAUAAUCAAUGUGGGUUGUUCGUGUCCUGUUAAAUUUGUCCACCAAUUGGCAUCUAGAUUAUUCAUUGUUGUAUUAAGAUUUGUUGGAUUUUUGUUUCGCCUUUACAAAGUGAAAAGGCGAGAUAUAUGUUACAUUUACGAUUGAACAAAUCUUAAACGUUUAGUGAAUUAUUUAAAAUUAAAAUAACACAAGAUAAAUUCCAUAUAACAAAAUUUGAUUUCCCCACUCGUAUAUACUGGAUUGCAGGAUAAGAACAGUAACUCACAGAUUUUAGUAUCCUUACCGACAGCAGGGCUCACCCUGGAUCAAAAAUACCUGUAGCCAAAAUAUUAGCCAAAUGGAAUUUUUAUUAGCCAUAUUGAAAAUGCUUUAGCCAAAAUUGUUUUACCCAGUACUGUAUAGAGUAUAUAUGAAUAUGAAAAUGCAUCUUUUUCAGCUAAUUGUGUACAAACUGGAAUAAACCUGAUCAAAAUCAAAGAUAGCAAUGGGGUUAGCGGCAGUUAAUGUAUUACUUCGAUUUUUCGGGGGGGGGGGGGGGGGGUGAUUCAUUAUCUUCAGAGUUGGAAGUCAGUACCCAUACACCCUCCCCCACUUCUAAGGCCUAUGACAUUAUGGAGGGUGGGCUUUUUUCUUUUCUUCUUUCUUCCUUUUUUUCUCAAAUAAAUUUUAGUUUGAACUCAAAUCUUUAAUGACGUCGCACACAUACAAUUUGUAUGGCGUUACUGUUGCGUAAAAGUGUCAGUUUAUUAGUUUAGUCUGCACUCUAAAACUUAUCUUUUCUGACACCCAAUAGCCGAGGUGUAUUUUUGUGCUGGUGUGUUGUUGAACAUUCAUUAAUUCAGACUUUAAAACAUUUAAUAAGCAAGAAGCCAGGGAUACGUUUGACUGGAAGGUGUUAUACAAUUCAGUAUUACAUAGACUGCAAGAAGCCAGGGAUACGUUUGACUGGAAGGUGUUAUAUAAUUCAGUAUUACAUGGACUGCUGAUUACACGAGACAUUUGACUUCACCUAGGAACUAUCAACUAAUUCCUGGGCUACAUAUAGUUAUGCGUUGCUGACAUUCUUGGAUGUUCGAGUCAUUUUUCAUUUGGUUAAAAAAUAUACCAUAUUUAUUUCUGUUUUUGUUGUUUCAUUUACCAUUGUGUGUCUGCACUUGAGAAUUUUGAAAGUUUAAGUAAUUUAAUAUCAUUCCUUCAACAUAUUUGUUAUUGUACUUUUUAUAGAAGAUAAAGGCCCACUGAACUGGUGCAUUACGUCA
Molecule: unclassified non-coding RNA, 6990 nt
Filed under: Gigantopelta aegis
Lineage: Eukaryota; Metazoa; Mollusca; Gastropoda; Neomphalida; Peltospiridae
Description: uncharacterized LOC121382654, transcript variant X2
Source: RNAcentral